Molecule: ribosomal RNA, 471 nt
Filed under: uncultured bacterium
Lineage: Bacteria
Description: partial 16S ribosomal RNA
Rfam family: Bacterial small subunit ribosomal RNA
Source: RNAcentral
GACGAACGCUGGCGGCGUGCUUAACACAUGCAAGUCGAACGAUGAAGCCUAGCUUGCUAGGUGGAUUAGUGGCGAACGGGUGAGUAAUACGUGAGUAACCUACCUUUAACUCUGGGAUAAGCCUGGGAAACUGGGUCUAAUACCGGAUACGACCAAUCUCCGCAUGGGGUGUUGGUGGAAAGCGUUAUGUAGUGGUUAUAGAUGGGCUCACGGCCUAUCAGCUUGUUGGUGAGGUAACGGCUCACCAAGGCGACGACGGGUAGCCGGCCUGAGAGGGUGACCGGCCACACUGGGACUGAGAGACGGCCCAGACUCCUACGGGAGGCGGCAGUGGGGAAUAUUGCACAAUGGGCGCAAGCCUGAUGCAGCGACGCCGCGUGAGGGAUGACGGCCUUCGGGUUGUAAACCUCUGUUAGCAGGGAAGAAGAGAAAUUGACGGUACCUGCAGAGAAAGCGCCGGCUAACUACGUG